RNAcentral lists this unclassified non-coding RNA (221 nucleotides) under uncultured fungus. RNAcentral describes it as "partial contains 5.8S ribosomal RNA, internal transcribed spacer 2, and large subunit ribosomal RNA". The record is from RNAcentral. Lineage: Eukaryota; Fungi. RNAcentral also lists the same sequence under 1 other name.
AACGCACAUUGCGCCCGGUAGCACUCUACCGGGCAUGCCUGUUCGAGCGUCGAACUACCCUCUAUAACGGUGUUGGGGACUACUUGUAGCCCUGAAAUAUAGUGGCGGCCGUUCUAAGCCUUUGCGAAGUACAAUACGCAGCAGGGGAUGAAAUCGGUUCUGCCUUAAUCACCACUUUUGAAGACGACCUCGAAUCAGGUAGGAUUACCCGCUGAACUUAA